RNAcentral lists this transfer RNA (69 nucleotides) under Marmota monax (woodchuck). RNAcentral's name for it is "tRNA.Leu". Lineage: Eukaryota; Metazoa; Chordata; Mammalia; Rodentia; Sciuridae. The record is from RNAcentral.
GGGAUUGUGGCUCAGCGGUAGAGCGCUUGCCUAGUGCUUGAGGCCCUGGGUUCAAUCCUCAGCAUCACA